GAUGAACGCUGGCUACAGGCUUAACACAUGCAAGUCGAGGGGAAACGACGGGGAAGCUUGCUUCCCCGGGCGUCGACCGGCGCGCGGGUGAGUAACGCGUAUCCAACCUGCCUCUGACUGAGGGAUAACCCGUCGAAAGUCGGCCUAAUACCUCAUGGCAUCGUCUGCGGGCAUCCAACGACGAUUAAAGAUUUCAUCGGUCAGGGAUGGGGAUGCGUCUGAUUAGCUUGUUGGCGGGGUAACGGCCCACCAAGGCUACGAUCAGUAGGGGUUCUGAGAGGAAGGUCCCCCACAUUGGAACUGAGACACGGUCCAAACUCCUACGGGAGGCAGCAGUGAGGAAUAUUGGUCAAUGGGCGGGAGCCUGAACCAGCCAAGUAGCGUGCAGGAUGACGGCCCUAUGGGUUGUAAACUGCUUUUAUGCGGGGAUAAAGUGAGGGACGUGUCCUUCAUUGCAGGUACCGCAUGAAUAAGGACCGGCUAAUUCCGUG
This 491-nucleotide ribosomal RNA is filed under the name uncultured bacterium. Its description in RNAcentral is "partial 16S ribosomal RNA". It matches the Rfam family "Bacterial small subunit ribosomal RNA", at positions 28 to 507 of the family's 1533-position model. The record is from RNAcentral.